GGUGCUGUGGUGUAGUGGUUAUCACGUUUGCUUUACACGCAAAAGGUCUCCGGUUCGAACCCGGGUAGCAUCA
This is a non-coding RNA of Arabis alpina (gray rockcress), 73 nucleotides long. Lineage: Eukaryota; Viridiplantae; Streptophyta; Magnoliopsida; Brassicales; Brassicaceae. The record is from Rfam.